Molecule: ribosomal RNA, 1888 nt
Filed under: human gut metagenome
Description: bacterial LSU rRNA
Rfam family: Bacterial large subunit ribosomal RNA
Source: RNAcentral
GAGACCGAUAGUGAACCAGUACCGCGAGGGAAAGGUGAAAAGAACCCCGAGCAGGGGAGUGAAAUAGACCCUGAACCCGCGCGCCUACAAGCGGUCGGAGCCGAGUAAUUCGGUGACGGCGUGCCUUUUGCAUAAUGAGCCUACGAGUUAGUCGUCACCAGCGAGGUUAAGGGCUUCAGGCCCGUCAGCCGAAGUGAAAGCGAGCCUUAACAGGGCGUGAAGUUGGUGGCGCUAGACGCGAAACCUUGUGAUCUACCCACGAGCAGGUUGAAGUCGCGGUAACACGUGAUGGAGGACCGAACCGGUAAACGUUGAAAAGUUUUCGGAUGACUCGCGGGUAGGGGUGAAAGGCCAAUCAAACUGGGAAAUAGCUCGUACUCUCCGAAAUGCAUUUCGGUGCAGCCUGUGAUGUUCUGUUCCAGAGGUAGAGCUACUGGUUGGACGCGAGGGCUUCACCGCCUAUCAAAUCCGGAUAAACUCCGAAUGCUGGAACACGAAAUCAUGGAGUGAGCCCGCGGGUGCUAAGGUCCGCGGACGAGAGGGAAAGAACCCGGACCACCGGCUAAGGUCCCGGAUGGACAGUUAAGUUGAUCAAACGAGGUGGGAUCGCGGAGACAGCUAGGAUGUUGGCUUGGAAGCAGCCAUUCAUUUAAAGAGUGCGUAACAGCUCACUAGUCGAGCGAUCCCGCGUGGAUAAUACACGGGCAUCAAACUGUCAACCGAAGCCGUGGGGUUAGUGAUGAGCUAACCGGUAGGAGAGCAUUCCUGCCAGCUUUGAAGGUCACCCGCGAGAGUGACUGGAGCGGCAUGAAAAGCAAAUGUAGGCAUAAGUAACGAUAAUGGGGGCGAGAACCCCCCACGCCGCAAGACCAAGGAUUCCCCGGCAAUGUCAAUCAGCCGGGGGUCAGCCGGCCUCUAAGGCUAACCCGAACGGGGACGCCGACGAGAAACGGGUUAACAUUCCCGUGCUUCUCGUCACCGUGACGCGGUGACGGGGUGAUGAAUGGACCGCGCGCAGACGGAAUAGCGCGUUGAAGGCCGUACCCUUUGAGGGUGGUAGUCAAGCACGCCACCGGAGGCGACAGCCGAUAGUACCUCGAGGCCUCGGCCGAGGGGAUAGCGUCCAGGCAAUUAACCCCCUAGAAAACCCGCUAAACUUCAAGUGACGAGGAACCGUACUGUAAACGGACACACGUGGUCGGGUAGAACAUACCAAGGCGCUCGAGUGAUUCAUGGUCAAGGAACUAGGCAAAAUAGUCCUGUAACUUAGGGAUAAAGGACGCUCUAGUGAUAGAGCCGCAGAGAAAUGGCCCAGGCGACUGUUUACCAAAAACACAUGGCUAUGCCAAAUCGAAAGAUGACGUAUAUGGCCUGACACCUGCCCGGUGCCGGAAGGUUAAGAGGAGAGCUCAUCAGUAAUGAGAAGGUUUGAAUUGAAGCCCCGGUAAACGGCGGCCGUAACUAUAACGGUCCUAAGGUAGCGAAAUUCCUUGUCGGGUAAGUUCCGACCUGCACGAAUGGUGUAACGAUCUGGGCACUGUCUCGACCAUGAGCUCGGUGAAAUUGUAGUUCCGGUGAAGAUGCCGGGUACCCGCGACGGGACGGAAAGACCCCGUGAACCUUUACUGCAGCUUCGCGUUGUUCCCGGGCACGGGACGUGUAGGAUAGGUCGGAGGCUACGAUUCGGUUUCGCCAGGAAUCGAGGAGCCAUCGUUGAAAUACGACCCUUCUCUUGUCUGGGAUCUAACCCAUGGUAAUGGGGACACCGCGUGGUGGGUAGUUUGACUGGGGUGGUCGCCUCCAAAAGCGUAACGGAGGCUUCCAAAGGUACCCUCGGGUUGGUUGGUAAUCAACCUCAGAGUGCAAUGGCACAAGGGUGCUUGACCGG